CAUUGUAUCCAGAUUAAAGCCAUUCGAACUGUCGGAACGCCGUUGUAGGGCCCUACGUCACAAACACACACUCACCGUCAGGUCUAAGUUUGGCUCCCACGCGCUCCUGUUCACUGGCAGCGCGUGGCCCUCCGUCAGGAUCACCGUCCUGAUGGCGUUCAGUCUGACUCGCGCCUCCCCGCCGCGGGAACACAACGCCAGCGCGAGCGUGAGACACACCAUCAGCACCAAGUGACUGCUCAUGACUGCUGCUGCUGCUGCGACAACAAAUGAAUACUUAAAUACCCAAACACGCUGCACGUGCUUACAUGAAAAUAUCCGCGACUCUCAGGUGAGCAGAAGAAGAUGCUGCGUGUCUGACUGAAGGAAUUAUUCAGACAGGUGAGAUGGAUCCGGACCCUGGUCCACUUUAUAGUCUGCUUCCACUGCAACCUCCCUCUCCGCCCACCGCCCACCGCCCCGGCCACGCGCCCACACACACAUCGAUACCCGCGCGAGCCAUUCACCUGCAGCCAUCGAUACACAGAGAGAAGAAGAGAGAGCGAGGGGGUUAAAGGAAGAUGUCCGUGCUUUGCAACGUUAACGUAGGGCAAGUAGACUGCAGAGCACUCACUCAACAUCACUAAAAACAACCUUUUCUUUAAUUACCCUGUUUUUCAUUUUCAAGUUGGCUAUUUGAAACAUUUAAAUGACCAUUUACAUAAAGUAUUCAGAUAUUCAAUGUCUGAAUGUAUCAGUAGGUUAAGUUUUAGCAGCAACAUGUAAAAGUAUAAAUUGUGCCGGUGACUAUGCAGUAGGCCUAUCCUAUAUUACUAGAUUAUUUUUACAGAUGCAUUUACAGUAUAAUUAAGCAGAACUGUACUAUUGUUGUCCGUCAAGAUGCUGCUAAUUUGACUAGGUAAUAUUUGAUGAACUCACUGUUUGUGCAUGUGUGUGAAAGAUGUUGUUUAAGAUGUGAAAUAAACAUCGUGAAGUAAAAGAAAAUCUCUCAAAAUGUAGUGGAGUAGAAGUAAAGUAGCAUAACACGAACACACUCAAGUAAAGUACAAGCCACUUAAAACUGUACUUGACUAAACCCAGUUACAUCCCGCUU
Molecule: long non-coding RNA, 1093 nt
Organism: Micropterus dolomieu (smallmouth bass)
Lineage: Eukaryota; Metazoa; Chordata; Actinopteri; Centrarchiformes; Centrarchidae
Exons: 2
Source: RefSeq, a predicted model, not a curated record